Molecule: ribosomal RNA, 253 nt
Filed under: uncultured bacterium
Lineage: Bacteria
Description: partial 16S ribosomal RNA
Rfam family: Bacterial small subunit ribosomal RNA
Source: RNAcentral
UACGUAGGUGGCAAGCGUUGUCCGGAUUUAUUGGGCUUAAAGGGCGCGUAGGCGGCCUUAUAAGUCAGUGCUGAAAUAUCCCGGCUUAACCGGGAGGGUGGCAUUGAUACUGUAGGGCUUGAGUGUAGUCGAGGUAGGCGGAAUUGACGGUGUAGCGGUGAAAUGCUUAGAUAUCGUCAAGAACACCGAUAGUGUAGACAGCUUACUAGGCUACAACUGACGCUGAGGCACGAAAGUGUGGGGAUCAAACAGG